Molecule: ribosomal RNA, 500 nt
Filed under: uncultured eukaryote
Lineage: Eukaryota
Description: SSU rRNA
Rfam family: Eukaryotic small subunit ribosomal RNA
Source: RNAcentral
GCCGUGCUCACAAAACGCCAUGGCAGGUUCAAGUUUUAAUAGUGGUACAUCUGAAACUGCGAAGAGCUCAUUCAAAAGUUCUAGUUCAUUUUGAUUGACGGACUACAUCGGAUAACCGUAGUAAUUCCUAGAGCUAAUACAUGGCUGUAAGCCUGACUUUUCGGGAAAGGGUGUAUUUAUUAGAUCCCAAACCAAUAGUUUUCGACUAUUGUGACGACUCAUAAUAACUGGGUCGGAUCGGGUAUUACUCGAUGGAUCAUUCAAGUUUUCUGCCCUAUCAGCUUUUCGAUGAUAGUGUAUUUGGACUAUCAUGGCGAUAACGGGUAACGGGGAAUUAGGGUUCGAUUCCGGAGAGGGAGCCUGAGAAACGGCUACCACUUCUAAGGAAGGCAGCAGGCGCGUAAAUUACCCAAUCCUGAUUCAGGGAGGUAGUGACAAGAAAUAUUAACAGAAGGGCUUUGCCUUAUCUGAUUAAAAUGAGGACAAUCUAAUAGACCUUA